AUUGAACGCUAGCGGGAUGCCUUACACAUGCAAGUCGAACGGCAGCGGGAAGAAAGCUUGCUUUCUUUGCCGGCGAGUGGCGAACGGGUGAGUAAUGUAUCGGAACGUGCCCAGUAGCGGGGGAUAACUGGCCGAAAGGUCAGCUAAUACCGCAUACGCCCUACGGGGGAAAGGGGGGGAUUCUUCGGAACCUCUCACUAUUGGAGCGGCCGAUAUCGGAUUAGCUAAUUGGUGGGGUAAUGGCCUACCAAGGCGACGAUCCGUAGCUGGUUUGAGAGGACGACCAGCCACACUGGGACUGAGACACGGCCCAGACUCCUACGGGAGGCAGCAGUGGGGAAUUUUGGACAAUGGGGGAAACCCUGAUCCAGCCAUCCCGCGUGUGCGAUGAAGGCCUUCGGGUUGUAAAGCACUUUUGUCAGGGAAGAAAAGGUUCUGGCUAAUACCCGGAACUGAUGACGGUACCUGAAGAAUAAGCACCGGCUAACUACGUG
This 494-nucleotide ribosomal RNA is filed under the name uncultured bacterium. Its description in RNAcentral is "bacterial SSU rRNA". It matches the Rfam family "Bacterial small subunit ribosomal RNA", at positions 30 to 507 of the family's 1533-position model. The record is from RNAcentral.